Molecule: ribosomal RNA, 434 nt
Filed under: uncultured bacterium
Lineage: Bacteria
Description: partial 16S ribosomal RNA
Rfam family: Bacterial small subunit ribosomal RNA
Source: RNAcentral
AGCGAACGCUGGCGGCAGGCCUAACACAUGCAAGUCGAACGAACCUUUCGGGGUUAGUGGCGGAUGGGUGAGUAACACGUGGGAACGUGCCUUUAGGUUCGGAAUAACUCAGGGAAACUUGUGCUAAUACCGAAUGUGCCCCUCGGGGGAAAGAUUAAUCGCCUUUAGAGCGGCCCGCGUCUGAUUAGUUAGUUGGUUGAGGUAAUGGCUCACCAAGGCGACGAUCAGUAGCUGGUCUGAGAGGAUGAUCAGCCACAUUGGGACUGAGACACGGCCCAAACUCCUACGGGAGGCAGCAGUGGGGAAUCUUGCGCAAUGGGCGAAAGCCUGACGCAGCCAUGCCGCGUGAAUGAUGAAGGUCUUAGGAUUGUAAAAUUCUUUCACCGGAGACGAUAAUGACGUUACCCGGAGAAGAAGCCCCGGCUAACUUCGUG